This 321-nucleotide ribosomal RNA is filed under the name Triticum aestivum (bread wheat). RNAcentral describes it as "partial small subunit ribosomal RNA". The record is from RNAcentral. Lineage: Eukaryota; Viridiplantae; Streptophyta; Magnoliopsida; Poales; Poaceae.
AUGACACCACACGUGAAGAAGACAAACCCCAGACCACAGGCUUCAUACGGUCCAAAGGCUUCAUACAGACAGAGGACUCACCUGAGUCGCACUAACACAAAUGUUUUGGAGGGAAACCAUGCUCGGGCCUAUGAAUAUGAGCGCGGUUCAUCAAACCGCCAUGUUCGGAAGACCAAGAACUAUUCUGCUUAUUCCUAUGAGUACUAUUGUCCACCUACAAGACUGUUUUCUAGGGCUCCAAAGCCAAAGUUCUCAGAUGCUGCACUUAGACUUAUUGCUUCUAAGCCACCCUUGAAGAUGUGGGUGGCUAAGAAAGCUUAA